This 28-nucleotide non-coding RNA is filed under the name Bombyx mori (domestic silkworm). The record is from RNAcentral. Lineage: Eukaryota; Metazoa; Arthropoda; Insecta; Lepidoptera; Bombycidae.
UCAUCUUGUGCAGGAUCAAACGUGAAGC